Molecule: RNA transcript, 4212 nt
Organism: Columba livia (rock pigeon)
Lineage: Eukaryota; Metazoa; Chordata; Aves; Columbiformes; Columbidae
Gene: TMX3
Gene name: thioredoxin related transmembrane protein 3
Exons: 16
Source: RefSeq, a predicted model, not a curated record
GGAAAGGUCGCCGCCGCCGCCGCGCGCCGCUUCCCCUUCCGGCCGCGCCGGAGCUCCUGUCAACAUGGCAGCGGCGGGCGGGCGGCGGCAGUGGCUGGUCUGGGCGGCAGUGGUUGCACAUGUGGUGGCAUCAGGUGCGGGGUUUGUGGAGGAUCUAGAUGAGUCGUUUAAAGAAAACCGUAAAGAUGAUAUUUGGCUUGUUGAUUUUUAUGCACCUUGGUGUGGCCACUGUAAGAAACUCGAGCCUGUGUGGAAUGAAGUGGGUAUAGAAAUGAAAAACAUGGGCUCUCCAGUAAAAGUUGGGAAGAUGGAUGCAACUUCUUUUUCUAGUAUUGCAUCUGAAUUUGGAGUGCGAGGCUAUCCAACAAUUAAGCUCUUAAAGGGUGACUUGGCAUACAACUAUAGAGGACCUAGAACUAAAGAUGAUAUAAUUGAAUUUGCUAAUAGAGUAGCAGGACCUCUUAUCAGGCCACUUCCUAGCCAGCAUAUGUUCGAGCAUGUGCAAAAGAGGCAUCGUGUACUUUUUGUGUAUGUUGGUGGUGAAUCUCCUUUAAAGGAAAAAUACAUUGAAGUUGCUUCAGAACUAAUAGUUUAUACAUACUUUUUUUCUGCCUCAGAAGAUGUGCUGCCUGAGCAUGUGACAUUACCUGAAUUGCCUGCUGUUGUGGUCUUCAAAGAUGGAACUUACUUUGUCUAUGAUGAGUAUGAAGAUGGUGACUUGUCAUCCUGGAUAAAUCGAGAAAGAUUUCAAGGUUAUCUUAAUGUAGAUGGCUUCACGCUGUAUGAACUUGGAGAUACAGGAAAACUUGUGGCUAUUGCAGUCAUUGAUGAUAAAAACUCUUCAAUGGAACAUACCAGACUAAAAUCUAUUAUUCAGGAAGUUGCUAGAGAUUAUCGGGAUCACUUUCACAGAGAUUUCCAGUUUGGCCAUAUGGAUGGAAAUGAUUACAUUAAUAGUUUACUAAUGGAUGAUGUGACAAUCCCUACUAUUGUGGUUCUGAAUACCUCAAAUCAGCAGUAUUUUCUACCAGAUAGACACAUUGAGAACACAGAAGACAUGGUUCAGUUUAUUAACAAUAUUUUGGAUGGUACAGCUGAAGGACUUAAGAUUGCGAGGUCUGAAGAAUGAACUUUUGGAAUCAUAACUGAAAAGUGUCAGCAGUUUUGACAUAGUUCCAUUUGAAAUUUCAGGCGCAGGGUGGUGAUGGACUUCUGCAACGAAUCAAGAGAAUAAUCUAUGAUGCCAAGUCUACCGUAGUGUCUGUAUUCAAGAGUUCACCACUGCUGGGAUGCUUUCUCUUUGGCUUGCCCUUGGGGGUCAUCAGCAUUAUGUGCUAUGGAAUCUGCACAGCGGAUACAGAUGGAGGGAUAGAUGAACAUGAGGCAGCUAAAAAGGAAAACGGUGAUCGGGAGCUCACAGAUGAAGGUAGUGAGGAAGAACAAGAGGAUGAAAAGAAUGGAAAAUAUACAGAACUUUCAGAUGGAGAGCUUAAACAGAAAGACAUAAUGGAAAAGAAAAAAGACUAACUUGUUUAGCAAAAUUAUUCUCUAGAAUUUCCAAAUAGACUUAUAUUUAUUGAAGGUAGUCAUUUAUUGAUGAUCUUCAGGAAAGAGGACCAUUAUGUUGCAUUAUGGUAGUUUUGACUUGCAUGUAUUCAAAUUUUCUCAGAAAUUGACAGGAAAAAAAAAUGGAUGUUCUCUAGAUUGUCUUUAAUAGAUUGACAAAGACCAAUUUAAACUGAAGGAAUUUGCAGGUACAAUUCUACACCAUUUUUUUGAAGAGUUUUGAAUUUUCAGAACACCGAGAUAAUGUUACUUGACCUUAUUGUAUGUGUUCCUAAUAUAGUCCAGCUAAACAUUCAUUCAUAUAAAAUUAAGGCUGAAAACUUAGAAUGAUUGAGAUCUGUAACGUCAUGAUUGAGAUCUGUAACGUCUUGCAGAGCCUGAUAGGUAAAGACAAUUUAGAGGUUUCUGGGAAGUCAUGUGUUCUACCUGUUGCACAUUAUUUUGGAAAAAAGAGCCCCAAACUUUUCUAUUUUCUCAAGUUAAAAGUGAACUUUUAGGAAUUAGAGAACUGCUGUACCAUGUAAUAAUAUAAUUAUUGGCAGUCAGGAAUGUUUACUUGGUAUAAGAUGUGGGAGUUAUAUACUAAAAUAAGUCUUUAUUAGCGCUUUGGCAGCUAAAAAAUGCUGGAAAACUAUAUUAGAAAACUUUUAGAACAUGAUUGCCUGUUUAAUUUUUUGUAUGAAUGCUUACACAAACUUAUAGUGCAAAUGAUCCUUAAGUUUUCUGAAUCCACACUUCAACUUGAUAAAGAAAGACUUAAAUGUAAACAGCCUCUGACUAUUUUGCAUAACCUUCUAAUGACAAACUUUUUGAAUGGUGUAAAUUUGUUUUACAGCGUUUAAUUCAGAUUGUUAUAUAUCUUUGAAGUAGUUGAUGUUGAUAGUUUUGUUUGAGACUGUUACAUACACUCAUUAACUCCCUUCUUCAGAGUAAUAUUAACAUUUGUAGAGAUUGGUCAGGAUAAUGUGUUUUGGUUACCUAUUUAAUCAUAAAAGUCAGUUUUAAUACAACCCUCUGACUGUGAAAAGGACUAAUUUGUGUCCAGGGUUAAAAUCUUCAAGGGUAAGCUAUAAAACAGCCUUUGGCGUUGUUGUCAUGGAGAGUACCACAGAAACAAAACAUUAUUCUUCCUCUUAGUAUUCAUACUGGGGUUUUGUGGUGUGGUUUUUUUUCAAUUAUUUUUUUUAAAGGCUAUAUUACUGUAUAAUAUGGAUUAUAAUGUCCUCCUAAUAAGAGAGCUUGAUCACUUAAGAAGUUACUAUGCUAUAGCACUGAAUUAAGGAAUUUAAAUAAAAAACAUGGUUUAGCUUAAAUAGGCAUGUUCCAUGUUUGAGUAAACCUGAUGAUGAUAUAAAUCAUAACCAGGGAAAAUGAAUUGCAUCCUUUUUCCUUGUAGGAAAGAAACUUGUUUCUUCUGUUUAAGUAGCUUGAUAACAGGUGGCUUCAUGUUGCAGCACAGAGUACAGUAAAUAAAUGCCUGACUUCAAAGAUUGUUGUUAUCAAAUCGUAUAAAUGAUGUCUAUGGGGAGUAGGAAAUUUUUCCAGGAAAGAUUCUGUGUCUGAUUUUGAGUCCAACCUUUUUCCUUUCAGGAGGACAGAAAAACAAAAAAAAAGUCAUAGAAUGCUGAGUAGCAGGUGUUUAAUACUUUUUUUUUUCCCUCUUUUUGUUUUCGUUUUCCUUCUAUGAAUUGCCUUUUUUUCAUUUUUUGUAAUUAUAGCCAGUUGUAAAUAGUGACUUGAGUUUUCUUGCUUUUUAUCUUAUUUUUGUCUUGGUUUUUUGUUUUGUUUUGGUUUGGGUUUUUUUUGGUGGAAUCUUUGGAGUAUAGUUUUAGCAUAGAUUUGAAGAGUGAGAUGCUUAACAAUGUGCUUAGAAAAAAACUUUAACGUGGUGUAGAGCUCUUAAGUUGUAUUUAAAAAAAUCACUUAAUGACAAGCCUGUAAAUUUCUUUGGACAGAAUCAAAAUGUAGGACUAUUAAGGCAGUAAUGUUUUCUUGAUUUGUUUCUUAAGAUGUAGAAUACAGAUCUGUUACAUAUUUAGUUUUGGCUCAGGCUGGAAACCUGAAACUUUUGACUUAAUAAAAGAACUGAAGUGGUCAGUGGAACUCUUUCAAGUAUGAGCCUUCAUUUUUUUUUCUUUUUUUGUUUGUAAUCAGUAACCAAGUAAGUUACUGAGAAAUCUGAGAUAUGGACCUUAAUAUGAUCAAUACUGUGUAAAAACACAAGUCGAACUAGGAUCCAUUAAAACUGACAUUUCACUGCUCAAGUUAGGAGGAGAGCAUGUGUCUCAGUCACUUCAGAACUGUGAUAUCAAGCAGAUGUGUACUGAACUGUUGAAAAUUAAACUUGAAAUGUACUGCCAUUUUCACCAAAUCCUUCUCCCAGCUGUAUUCAACAAGACACAGGGAGAAGAAAAGCGUAUAAGUCAUAUACUGGGUGUCAGAAGUGAUGUGAAAUUAAGGGGUUUGCUGUGGUCAUGCAAAUAAAUCUAGAAUGCUGUCUGAAGGGGCAUCUGGCAUUUUAUUAUUUUCUUCAGUCUCUAAAGGUUUCUUAAAGCAACUUCACUGUAAUAACUUUGAAUUCACAAAAUAAUGCUGCUUUUUUAAGUGUAAGCCUUUUGUUUUUCUGUAAUAAAAACAUUUAAAAGA